UUGGACAUGGGCGAAAGCCUGAUCCAGCCAUGCCGCGUGUGUGAAGAAGGUCUUCGGAUUGUAAAGCACUUUAAGUUGGGAGGAAGGGCAGUAAGUUAAUACCUUGCUGUUUUGACGUUACCAACAGAAUAAGCACCGGCUAACUUCGUGCCAGCAGCCGCGGUAAUACGAAGGGUGCAAGCGUUAAUCGGAAUUACUGGGCGUAAAGCGCGCGUAGGUGGUUCAGCAAGUUGGAGGUGAAAUCCCCGGGCUCAACCUGGGAACUGCCUCCAAAACUACUGAGCUAGAGUACGGUAGAGGGUAGUGGAAUUUCCUGUGUAGUGGUGAAAUGCGUAGAUAUAGGAAGGAACACC
RNAcentral lists this ribosomal RNA (353 nucleotides) under uncultured bacterium. RNAcentral describes it as "bacterial SSU rRNA". It matches the Rfam family "Bacterial small subunit ribosomal RNA", at positions 364 to 710 of the family's 1533-position model. The record is from RNAcentral.